Molecule: ribosomal RNA, 931 nt
Filed under: bacterium
Lineage: Bacteria
Description: bacterial SSU rRNA
Rfam family: Bacterial small subunit ribosomal RNA
Source: RNAcentral
UGCAGUCGACGGUGAAGCCAAGCUUGCUUGGUGGAUCAGUGGCGAACGGGUGAGUAACACGUGAGCAACCUGCCCUGGACUCUGGGAUAAGCGCUGGAAACGGCGUCUAAUACUGGAUAUGAGCUCCUUCCGCAUGGUGGGGGUUGGAAAGAUUUUUCGGUCUGGGAUGGGCUCGCGGCCUAUCAGCUUGUUGGUGAGGUAAUGGCUCACCAAGGCGUCGACGGGUAGCCGGCCUGAGAGGGUGACCGGCCACACUGGGACUGAGACACGGCCCAGACUCCUACGGGAGGCAGCAGUGGGGAAUAUUGCACAAUGGGCGGAAGCCUGAUGCAGCAACGCCGCGUGAGGGAUGACGGCCUUCGGGUUGUAAACCUCUUUUAGCAGGGAAGAAGCGAGAGUGACGGUACCUGCAGAAAAAGCGCCGGCUAACUACGUGCCAGCAGCCGCGGUAAUACGUAGGGCGCAAGCGUUAUCCGGAAUUAUUGGGCGUAAAGAGCUCGUAGGCGGUUUGUCGCGUCUGCUGUGAAAUCCCGAGGCUCAACCUCGGGCCUGCAGUGGGUACGGGCAGACUAGAGUGCGGUAGGGGAGAUUGGAAUUCCUGGUGUAGCGGUGGAAUGCGCAGAUAUCAGGAGGAACACCGAUGGCGAAGGCAGAUCUCUGGGCCGUAACUGACGCUGAGGAGCGAAAGGGUGGGGAGCAAACAGGCUUAGAUACCCUGGUAGUCCACCCCGUAAACGUUGGGAACUAGUUGUGGGGACCAUUCCACGGUUUCCGUGACGCAGCUAACGCAUUAAGUUCCCCGCCUGGGGAGUACGGCCGCAAGGCUAAAACUCAAAGGAAUUGACGGGGACCCGCACAAGCGGCGGAGCAUGCGGAUUAAUUCGAUGCAACGCGAAGAACCUUACCAAGGCUUGACAUACACCAGAACACC